UCCCAGUGGAGCUCUGCAAGGAC
This 23-nucleotide microRNA is filed under the name Gallus gallus (chicken). RNAcentral describes it as "gga-miR-2130". The record is from miRBase by way of RNAcentral. Lineage: Eukaryota; Metazoa; Chordata; Aves; Galliformes; Phasianidae.